UACGAAGGGGGCUAGCGUUGCUCGGAAUCACUGGGCGUAAAGCGCACGUAGGCGGACUCUUAAGUCGGGGGUGAAAUCCUGGAGCUCAACUCCAGAACUGCCUUCGAUACUGGCGAUCUCGAGUUCGGGAGAGGUGAGUGGAACUGCGAGUGUAGAGGUGAAAUUCGUAGAUAUUCGCAAGAACACCAGUGGCGAAGGCGGCUCACUGGCCCGAUACUGACGCUGAGGUGCGAAAGCGUGGGGAGCAAACAGG
RNAcentral lists this ribosomal RNA (253 nucleotides) under uncultured bacterium. RNAcentral describes it as "partial 16S ribosomal RNA". It matches the Rfam family "Bacterial small subunit ribosomal RNA", at positions 524 to 776 of the family's 1533-position model. The record is from RNAcentral.